Quercus lobata is the source of this 917-nucleotide long non-coding RNA. RefSeq lists it as uncharacterized. The record is from RefSeq and is a predicted model, not a curated record. The transcript has 5 exons. NCBI's taxonomy places the organism in Eukaryota, Viridiplantae, Streptophyta, Magnoliopsida, Fagales, Fagaceae.
CUCUCUACCCAUCCCACUGCUAACAAGCUCCAACCUCGAUGCCGCCGACCUCCACCAUCCAUGCCGCCAACCUUCACUCUCCAUGCCAUGGCUUCCCUUCUUCCUUUCCCAGCCAUUCCCUUCCUCUUCCCUUUCGCCCAUCUCCACCCCUACAUUUUGGGUACCCCGUUCCCCACCACCAUGGCCAUGGCCACUUCUCCUUGACCCACUUCACCUCCUCCUUUCUUCUUCCUUACUCAAAUCCCAUCCUUUCUCUUCCAAAAUUUCAAACCCAAAAAUACAACCCAAAACCCUAGCCCCUACCCAAAGCAAGGAGGUGGUGGGCCAAUUAUGGGUGAUUUAUGGGGCUUGAAGGGUCUUAUUGAAGAAGGAAGAGAAUGAAACACCUGGAUGGACGCAUUUGAAGCUUCCAGGUCAAGCUCCUUCUCCUCGUUGUGGUCAUACUGUGACCUCCGAAGGGCACUAUGUAAUGACAUCUUCAGCAGCCUUUAUAUUCUUCUUGUUGAUUUCUGUUCAUGUGCUGUUGUGUCGAUGCUGAAACUUUUUUCCUUAUAAUUCCUUAAAUGUUACUGCUAAAAUUUUUUCUUUGCAGCUGUUGUUAUUUGGAGGUCAUGGGAUUGUUGGUUGGUUGAGUCGUUAUGACAUUUUUUACAAUGACAGCAUUGUUUUAGAUUGAGACCAAAGGGUUAAGAAGAUGACAACUCAAAUAGCUGAUUUGGAGGAGAAAUGCCGUGGUUUUGAAGCCUUGAAAGUUGAAGUGAGUUUGAUGAAGAAAAUGUUUUCUCAAAUGAGUCCACUAUUUACUUUCACUCAGGAUGGUGAUGAUGAUGUAGUGGAUGUCCAUUCUCCAUGUGAUGUGGAUUUAUCAUCCUGUGACAGACAUUAGGAAACAUGCAGAUUGUGGGUUUUAUCUUGUA